ACGGUACCGUAAGAAUAAGCACCGGCUAACUACGUGCCAGCAGCCGCGGUAAUACGUAGGGUGCAAGCGUUAAUCGGAAUUACUGGGCGUAAAGCGUGCGCAGGCGGUUAUGUAAGACAGAGGUGAAAUCCCCGGGCUCAACCUGGGAACUGCCUUUGUGACUGCAUAGCUGGAGUGCGGCAGAGGGGGAUGGAAUUCCGCGUGUAGCAGUGAAAUGCGUAGAUAUGCGGAGGAACACCGAUGGCGAAGGCAAUCCCCUGGGCCUGCACUGACGCUCAUGCACGAAAGCGUGGGGAGCAAACAGGAUUAGAUACCCUGGUAGUCCACGCCCUAAACGAUGUCAACUGGUUGUUGGGUCUUCACCGACUCAGUAACGAAGCUAACGCGUGAAGUUGACCGCCUGGGGAGUACGGCCGCAAGGUUAAAACUCAAAGGAAUUGACGGGGACCCGCACAAGCGGUGGAUGACGUGGUUUAAUUCGAUGCAACGCGAAAAACCUUACCCACCUUUGACAUGUACGGAAUCCUUUAGAGAUAGAGGAGUGCUCGAAAG
RNAcentral lists this ribosomal RNA (552 nucleotides) under uncultured bacterium. RNAcentral's name for it is "bacterial SSU rRNA". It matches the Rfam family "Bacterial small subunit ribosomal RNA", at positions 472 to 1024 of the family's 1533-position model. The record is from RNAcentral.